UAAGGAAUAUUGCUCAAUGGGAGAAAUCCUGAAGCAGCAACGCCGCGUGGAGGAUGAAGGGUCUAUGACUUGUAAACUCCUGUAAAGAAGGAAAAAAUUCCCAUUAGAUGGGAGAUGAUGGUACUUCUGGAGUAAGCCCCGGCUAACUACGUGCCAGCAGCCGCGGUAAUACGUAGGGGGCAAGCGUUGUCCGGAUUUACUGGGUGUAAAGGGUGCUCAGGCGGAUUUGUAAGUCAGAGGUGAAAUCUUACAGCUUAACUGUGAAACUGCCUUUGAUACUGCAAGCAUAGAGUAUGGAAGAGAGUGAUGGAAUAUCUGGUGUAGCAGUGAAAUGCGUAGAUAUCAGAUAGAACACCAAUGGCGAAGGCAGUCACUUGGUCCAUUACUGACGCUAAAGCACGAAAGCGUGGGUAGCAAACA
RNAcentral lists this ribosomal RNA (420 nucleotides) under uncultured bacterium. RNAcentral's name for it is "bacterial SSU rRNA". It matches the Rfam family "Bacterial small subunit ribosomal RNA", at positions 355 to 774 of the family's 1533-position model. The record is from RNAcentral.